This 90-nucleotide non-coding RNA is filed under the name Pseudomonas fluorescens. Lineage: Bacteria; Pseudomonadati; Pseudomonadota; Gammaproteobacteria; Pseudomonadales; Pseudomonadaceae. The record is from RNAcentral.
UGUGGGAGCGAGCUUGCUCGCGAUAGCGGUGGUUCAGUCAGGAAUGUUGUCGACUGGGACACUGCUAUCGCGAGCAAGCUCGCUCCCACA